RNAcentral lists this ribosomal RNA (891 nucleotides) under Hepatozoon quagliattus. Its description in RNAcentral is "SSU rRNA". It matches the Rfam family "Eukaryotic small subunit ribosomal RNA", at positions 303 to 1182 of the family's 1831-position model. The record is from RNAcentral. Lineage: Eukaryota; Apicomplexa; Hepatozoidae.
GUUUAGGACCUAUCAGCCUUCGACGGUAUGGUAUUGGGUUACCGUGGCAGUGACGGUUAACGGGGGAUUAGGGUUUGAUUCCGGAGAGGGAGCCUGAGAAACGGCUACCACAUCUAAGGAAGGCAGCAGGCGCGCAAAUUACCCAAUUCUAACAGCUUAAGAGAGGUAGUAACAAGAAAUAACAGUACAAGGCAGUUAAAAUGCUUUGUAAUUGGAAUGAUAGAAAUUUAAACAUUUUUUAAAGGAUCAAUUGGAGGGCAAGUCUGGUGCCAGCAGCCGCGGUAAUUCCAGCUUCAAUAGCGUAUAUUAAAAUUGUUGCAGUUAAAAAGCUCGUAGUUGAAAUUUUGCUAGAAAUAACCAAGCUGCUUUUAUUAAUAAAAGUGGUAUUUUGGUGUAUUACUAGCAAUAAUGUUCUAUAAAGUGUUUUUUACUUUAUUGUAAAAAACAACAUAUAGAAUUUUUACUUUGAGAAAAUUAGAGUGUUUCAAGCAAGCUAACGUUGUGAAUACUGCAGCAUGGAAUAAUAAAAUAGAAUUUUGGUUUUACAUUAUUGGUUUUAAGAACAAAAUUAAUGAUUGAUAGGGGCAGUUGGGGGCAUUUGUAUUUAACUGUCAGAGGUGAAAUUCUUAGAUUUUUUAAAGACAAACUACUGCGAAAGCAUUUGUCAAAGAUGUUUUCAUUAAUCAAGAACGAAAGUUAGGGAUCGAAGACGAUCAGAUACCGUCGUAGUCUUAACUAUAAACUAUGCCCGACUUAGAGAUUGGAGGUCGUCUUAAUUUAACGACUCCUUCAGCACCUUACAAGAAAUCCAAGUCUUUGGGGUCUGGGGGGAGUAUGGUCGCAGGCUGAAACUUAAAGGAAUUGACGGAAGGGCCACCACCAGGCGUGAGC